GACGAACGCUGGCGGCGUGCUUAACACAUGCAAGUCGAACGGAAAGGCCCUGCUUUUGUGGGGUUCUCGAGUGGCGAACGGGUGAGUAACACGUGAGUAACCUGCCCUUGACUUUGGGAUAACUUCAGGAAACUGGGGCUAAUACCGGAUAGGAGCUCCUGCUGCAUGGUGGGGGUUGGAAAGUUUCGGCGGUUGGGGAUCGACUGGCGGCUUAUCAGCUUGUUGGUGGGGUAGUGGCUUACCAAGGCUUUGACGGGUAGCCGGCCUGAGAGGGUGACCGGCCACAUUGGGACUGAGAUACGGACCAGACUCCUACGGGAGGCAGCAGUGGGGAAUAUUGCACAAUGGGCGGAAGCCUGAUGCAGCAACGCCGCGUGCGGGAUGACGGCCUUCGGGUUGUAAACCGCUUUCGCCUGUGACGAAGCGUGAGUGACGGUAAUGGGUAAAGAAGCACCGGCUAACUACGUG
RNAcentral lists this ribosomal RNA (468 nucleotides) under uncultured bacterium. RNAcentral's name for it is "partial 16S ribosomal RNA". It matches the Rfam family "Bacterial small subunit ribosomal RNA", at positions 28 to 507 of the family's 1533-position model. The record is from RNAcentral.